CCUACGGGUGGCAGCAGUGAGGAAUAUUGGUCAAUGGACGAGAGUCUGAACCAGCCAAGUAGCGUGAAGGAUGACUGCCCUAUGGGUUGUAAACUUCUUUUAUAUGGGACUAAAAUGUUCCACGUGUGGGAUUUUGUAUGUACCAUAUGAAUAAGGAUCGGCUAACUCCGUGCCAGCAGCCGCGGUAAUACGGAGGAUCCGAGCGUUAUCCGGAUUUAUUGGGUUUACAGGGAGCGUAGGUGGAUUGUUAAGUCAGUUGUGAAAGUUUGCGGCUCAACCGUAAAAUUGCAGUUGAAACUGGCAGUCUUGAGUACAGUAGAGGUGGGAGGAAUUCGUGGUGUAGCGGUGAAAUGCUUAGAUAUCACGAAGAACUCCGAUUGCGAAGGCAGUUCACUGGACUGCAACUGACACUGAGGCUCGAAAGUGUGGGUAUCAAACAGGAUUAGAUACCCUGGUAGUC
Molecule: ribosomal RNA, 460 nt
Filed under: uncultured bacterium
Lineage: Bacteria
Description: partial 16S ribosomal RNA
Rfam family: Bacterial small subunit ribosomal RNA
Source: RNAcentral